Long non-coding RNA from Ictalurus punctatus (channel catfish), 392 nucleotides. NCBI's taxonomy places the organism in Eukaryota, Metazoa, Chordata, Actinopteri, Siluriformes, Ictaluridae. The record is from Ensembl.
UGUUUCAACCAGAACCUGUUUCUACUCCCGAACCUGUUUCUACUCCCGAACCUGUUUCUACUGCCUCACCCGAUAUAGAAUAGUCUGACAAGACAGAUUCUCCUGCCGCAUCCAUUAUGGUCCAAAUGGAGCAGAUGUGUAUUGCAUCACAUACCUGAAGAAUCCAAUAACUGUAAAAGUCAUUAAAGUGUAUGAACAUCCAAAAGCUAGAGCCAAAAGUUUUCAAUCAGUUGUUACUCUUCCAGUGGAGAGUAUUUGAUAGUAACUGAAAUGUAUGUUAUGAUAAGUUAUGAUCACUAAUUACACUGUAGGAGAAUUAGAUUUUCUGUUUUUAUUGCAGUUUUACCCUACAGGAGAACAUCGUUCAUUUUUAAAAAUACACAUUAAAGGAG